AGUGAUCUCAAAGAUCCACCUGUCAACUAUACUGGUGAGCAAAGCAUUGUGGAUUUCUGGGAUGCUAUCAAUCUAGAGAUGAUUUCUUCUGGCUUUGUUCCCAGUCAGGCACAGAACCCUUGUGCUGUUAAACCAAAUUAUGAAUUCUGGGCACCUUGGAUAGGGCCAAUGACCAGGAAAAGUGACAAAGUACUCAACACAGAACAUGAAAAAAUGUCAGGUGUCAAGUCAUCUACUGAAGUGGCACUUACACUUGUAUCUGAAGAUCGGCUGGUUGACGAAUUGAUGAAACAAAAAGUGAGCACUGUCCGAAAAUUGUGCAAGGCCUGUAACGUUUGUUCCAAAGGGUCCCGUACUGACCUUGUUAUCAGACUAAGGGAGGAGAUGAAAACGAGACAGACAUAUGACAAAGUAUUUCAGAAGAUCUGGGGCGCAUCUGGUGAGUAGAGUUGGCAGUUUAUGAAAGUCAUUUUUAAUAGACAGUUUUUGCAUACAUUAUGUUUCAUUUUGUGUUUUCAGGUGGAUGGUCAGUCAUUGUGUGUCCACAUGGAAUUGUGUACAGCUUAAAAUUCAACCUUAGAGCAGAGAGUCCAAGGGACUUUGCAGAUUUGCUUCUUUCCUGGAAGCACUUUCCAAAUGUGUGUGUAUAUGAUUUUGCCCGUGGGCUAGCUACACAUACUAACUUGAGGGCACCAGCCAUCUUGCCUUUUCAUCCAUUUGAAGGAAGACUGGCACAGCCUACUGUGGAGAACAUUCAGUCAGCUGAGAUGAAAAAACUUCAGGUGUCACUUCCAUGGCUUAUAGAGAGUCUUGAGUACCCUGAGCCUAAUGGCCACCCAGUUACUGGUUCCUCAGAACACUAUGUACUCUAUGACAAGUUUCAUGAGAAAAACACUAAGGACUCAAAAGAUGUGCUGCGAAGAAUUGACCUGGUUCCAGAACUUCGUUGGACAUUGAACAGUCAGGUUGCAGAGCAGUUGUUUUCAGCUAUGCGGAAAAACAACUACUUCUUGAAUAAUAUGUCUCCGUCCACACAUGUGUUUGCAAUGAGGAAUAUCAUCCAUCACCGGAAUACCGCAACAAAUUCAAAACUCUUACAACAGUUGUUACAUCGUGGUGAGAGACCCCAAGAUAUCUGCAACAUUUCACUGUCUAACCUUGGCCAAGCUGUCAUAGGUUCUGAAUCUUUGGCUAGUACUGACUCUGCCAGGACACAAA
Molecule: long non-coding RNA, 1218 nt
Organism: Brienomyrus brachyistius
Lineage: Eukaryota; Metazoa; Chordata; Actinopteri; Osteoglossiformes; Mormyridae
Exons: 4
Source: RefSeq, a predicted model, not a curated record